UAAUACGUAGGGGCCAAGCGUUGUCCGGAAUUACUGGGCGUAAAGCGUGGGUAGGUGGUCGAUGAUGUGCCGCGUGAAAGCGCCGGAGUAAUGCCGGCGAGGUCGCGGUAGACACGUUGACUAGAGGCUCGCAGAGGAACGUGGAAUUCCCGGUGUAGUGGUGAAAUGCGUAGAUAUCGGGAGGAACACCAGUGGCGCAAGCGGCGUUCUGGGCGAGACCUGACACUGAGCCACGACGGCGUGGGGAGCAAACAGGA
RNAcentral lists this ribosomal RNA (257 nucleotides) under uncultured bacterium. RNAcentral describes it as "partial 16S ribosomal RNA". It matches the Rfam family "Bacterial small subunit ribosomal RNA", at positions 521 to 777 of the family's 1533-position model. The record is from RNAcentral.